This 464-nucleotide ribosomal RNA is filed under the name uncultured bacterium. RNAcentral describes it as "partial 16S ribosomal RNA". It matches the Rfam family "Bacterial small subunit ribosomal RNA", at positions 339 to 795 of the family's 1533-position model. The record is from RNAcentral.
CUACGGGCUGCUGCAGUGGGGAAUAUUGCACAAUGGGCGCAAGCCUGAUGCAGCCAUGCCGCGUGUAUGAAGAAGGCCUUCGGGUUGUAAAGUACUUUCAGCGGGGAGGAAGGGAGUAAAGUUAAUACCUUUGCUCAUUGACGUUACCCGCAGGAGAAGCACCGGCUAACUCCGUGCCAGCAGCCGCGGUAAUACGGAGGGUGCAAGCGUUAAUCGGAAUUACUGGGCGUAAAGCGCACGCAGGCGGUUUGUGAAGUCAGGUGUGAAAUCCCCGGGCUCAACCUGGGAACUGCAUCUGAUACUGGCAAGCUUGAGUCUCGUAGAGGGGGGUAGAAUUCCAGGUGUAGCGGUGAAAUGCGUAGAGAUCUGGAGGAAUACCGGUGGCGAAGGCGGCCCCCUGGACGAAGACUGACGCUCAGGUGCGAAAGCGUGGGGAGCAAACAGGAUUAGAUACCCGGGUAGUC